RNAcentral lists this ribosomal RNA (253 nucleotides) under uncultured bacterium. RNAcentral's name for it is "partial 16S ribosomal RNA". It matches the Rfam family "Bacterial small subunit ribosomal RNA", at positions 524 to 776 of the family's 1533-position model. The record is from RNAcentral.
UACGAAGGGGGCUAGCGUUGUUCGGAAUUACUGGGCGUAAAGCGUACGUAGGCGGCAUUAUAAGUCAGGGGUGAAAUCCCGGGGCUCAACCUCGGAACUGCCUUUGAUACUGUAGUGCUUGAGUCCGAUAGAGGUGAGUGGAAUUCCUAGUGUAGAGGUGAAAUUCGUAGAUAUUAGGAAGAACACCAGUGGCGAAGGCGGCUCACUGGAUCGGUACUGACGCUGAGGUACGAAAGCGUGGGGAGCAAACAGG